Molecule: long non-coding RNA, 376 nt
Filed under: Ananas comosus (pineapple)
Lineage: Eukaryota; Viridiplantae; Streptophyta; Magnoliopsida; Poales; Bromeliaceae
Description: long non-coding RNA (ACOM_LNC016770)
Source: RNAcentral
UUAAUUACAAUUAUAAUAUAGUUAAAUACUAAAGUUUACUAAUUUUUUAGUAAAAGGACUAAUUUGCAAUUAUUGUAAAUUAGAGGUAUUUAUGUGUAAAAGUUGCAUGGUGUAUUUACUAAUCGUUAGUAAAUAAUAUGAGGACUUAUGUGUAAAUGUUACACACGAAUCGAAUUAGAAUUAGGAUUCGGAAUUCGGUUAAUAUCAUAACCAACUUGCGGGUUAAUGGAUAAUCAAAUCGGAAUAGGAUUUCGAUUAGGAUUAGGAUUAUGUUAGGGUUUUCUCAUUAUAAAUAUAUGUCAUAUGACAUAUUAAAAUAAGUGAAAAUUUAAUACAAGAGAAAUAGAAAACCCUAGCCGUCAAUCCUCUUUCUUCC